GACGAACGCUGGCGGCGUGCUUAACACAUGCAAGUCGAACGAAGAGCGACGGAAGCUUGCUUCUAUCAAUCUUAGUGGCGAACGGGUGAGUAACGCGUAAUCAACCUGCCCUUCAGAGGGGGACAACAGUUGGAAACGACUGCUAAUACCGCAUACGAUCUAACCUCGGCAUCGAGGAUAGAUGAAAGGUGGCCUCUACAUGUAAGCUAUCACUGAAGGAGGGGAAUGCGUCUGAUUAGCUAGUUGGAGGGGUAACGGCCCACCAAGGCGAUGAUCAGUAGCCGGUCUGAGAGGAUGAACGGCCACAUUGGGACUGAGACACGGCCCAGACUCCUACGGGAGGCAGCAGUGGGGAAUCUUCCGCAAUGGACGAAAGUCUGACGGAGCAACGCCGCGUGAGUGAUGACGGCCUUCGGGUUGUAAAGCUCUGUUAAUCGGGACGAAAGGCCUUCUUGCGAAUAGUGAGAAGGAUUGACGGUACCGGAAUAGAAAGCCACGGCUAACUACGUG
RNAcentral lists this ribosomal RNA (510 nucleotides) under uncultured bacterium. RNAcentral describes it as "partial 16S ribosomal RNA". It matches the Rfam family "Bacterial small subunit ribosomal RNA", at positions 28 to 507 of the family's 1533-position model. The record is from RNAcentral.